Molecule: ribosomal RNA, 427 nt
Filed under: uncultured bacterium
Lineage: Bacteria
Description: partial 16S ribosomal RNA
Rfam family: Bacterial small subunit ribosomal RNA
Source: RNAcentral
UGGGGAAUAUUGCACAAUGGGCGCAAGCCUGAUGCAGCCAUGCCGCGUGUAUGAAGAAGGCCUUCGGGUUGUAAAGUACUUUCAGCGAGGAGGAAGGCGUUGUGGUUAAUAACCGCAACGAUUGACGUUACUCGCAGAAGAAGCACCGGCUAACUCCGUGCCAGCAGCCGCGGUAAUACGGAGGGUGCAAGCGUUAAUCGGAAUUACUGGGCGUAAAGCGCACGCAGGCGGUCUGUCAAGUCGGAUGUGAAAUCCCCGGGCUCAACCUGGGAACUGCAUCCGAAACUGGCAGGCUAGAGUCUUGUAGAGGGGGGUAGAAUUCCAGGUGUAGCGGUGAAAUGCGUAGAGAUCUGGCGGAAUACCGGUGGCGAAGGCGGCCCCCUGGACAAAGACUGACGCUCAGGUGCGAAAGCGUGGGGAGCAAACA